CAGGCGUGACUCUGUGUAGAGACGGGGUAGAAGAAAAACGGGCUGGGGAGCGUCGUGCCAGGCGAAGGUGGCGAGCAAGCACGGCCCGCUGGCAGAGCCAGCCCACCGCCCGCUUUGUGCAGCCCAUGGGCUAAGAACAGGCAUCGACGUGGCUGGAUUAAGGGCUACCUAGACGGCUGGUGAGCAGCAUUGCUGGUUGUGUCUGGGAGGGCAUAUCCAGAGGAGACUGGCAGCGAGCCUGGGCUGAGAGAGGAGCAGCCACCUUCAGCGUGGACGGCACCAUUCAAUCAGCUGAGGGCCUGGGCAGACCCUGAGAUGAAGAGAGGGAGAAUUCUUGCCCCUCUUGCAGAGCCAGGAUGCCCUUCUCCUUCUUUUUUGGAGGUCAGAAUUCCAGGUUCUCUGGUAUUUGGACUCCAGGAGCCACCGCCGAGGGCUCCCCGGCUGUCAGGCCUUUGACCUCAGACUGAAGGUUACAUCUGAAGCUUUCAAGCGCCAGCUUCCCCGGUUUGCCCACUUGCAGAUGGCCUGUCGUGGGAUUUCUCAGCCUCCAUAAUCACGUGAGCCGAUUCCCUUAAUAAAUCCCGUCAUCGAUC
Molecule: non-coding RNA, 593 nt
Organism: Microcebus murinus (gray mouse lemur)
Lineage: Eukaryota; Metazoa; Chordata; Mammalia; Primates; Cheirogaleidae
Source: RefSeq, a predicted model, not a curated record